This is a small nuclear RNA of Mirounga angustirostris (Northern elephant seal), 137 nucleotides long. RefSeq annotates it as U4 spliceosomal RNA. NCBI's taxonomy places the organism in Eukaryota, Metazoa, Chordata, Mammalia, Carnivora, Phocidae. The transcript has a single exon. The record is from RefSeq and is a predicted model, not a curated record.
AGUUUUAUGCAAUGGCAGUAUCGUGGCCAGUGAGGUUUAUCCGAGGCAUGAUUAUUGCUAAUUAAAAAUCUGAAAAAAACCUUGGUCAAGACAGAAGACAGUCAGGGCUUGAACAUGGGUGAUGGUAAUAGGGAUAA